CCCUUUGCCUUUUCCUCAAGCUCCUCCUCCAAUUGCUUUAGAUGUUCCUCGGUAAAUGGAAAAGCAUCUGCCCCGUAACUUGUCAAGUGCAUCCGAGCUUCCUUGGUAAUGGUCCGGCCACUUGGGCCAAUCGCUACAGCUGCAGGAAUGCCUUGAAUUUUGAAUUUCCGACUCAGGAUUUGUUUCCUUUCGUCACCAAAUGGAAGGGCUAACCAAGGCAUUUCUGAAUAGAACUCGUCAAAGGUGGAUUGAUCGCUGUCACUUGAGAUGAAGAUCACCUCAAAUGCAUUGUCUUUUGCUUUAAUUGUGUGGUAUGCUUCAAUUAGCUUGGGUAAAAAGGCACGACAAGGAGGGCACCAUUGAGCUGAGAAGUAAAGAAGAAUGUUCUUUCCAACUAGAUCAGACACUCGGACCUAAUCAAAGAGCAAACCAUUUGAAUGAUAAAAAUACCUUUGCUAAUGAAUUCAAUUCGAGAUAAUAAGCAAGUUAUUGAAAGUAAUGCAAUAACAACAUGCGAUGUUAGCACAGAACAAAAAAUUACCUUGGAUCCACUUUUGUCAAUCACAAAAUCAUUUUCCCCAUUAACCAAAACUGACUCAAGCGUCUGCGAUUCCAGUUUUGCCUUUUCAAUUUCAGCUAGCUCCUCAAGCUUUUCCGGUGUAAAUGGGUAGGCUUCAAUUCCAUGGUCUUCGAUGAGUUCAGCUACAUUUGGGUUCAAAGUCUUCCCAUCUUGGCCAAUUAUGACAAGAUUAGGAAUGGUUCUAAGUUCAAAAUACCGCGCUAGCUUCUCGCAGCUCUUGUCCUUAAACGGCAAUGCCAACCAAGGCAUUGUCUCAAAACUCUCUUUGAAUUAGGACUACUUCAAGUUCUCUCCUUUUUCCUUGAGCCUCUUGUACAAUUCCACUAGUUUAGGAGUGAAUUCACGGCACAAUCCUAUGAGCAUGGAUUGAGAAAUACAAGCCAACCAAUUUUCCUUCAAGGUCCAACACAGGGAUCUGCCAUUACAGAUAGCAAAAAUGUAAAUUAUGGCAUCAUCAUUAAAAAUAGCAAAAAAGUGAAUGAUGGCAUCAUCAAUUCAAUUUCAAAACUAGCUAAUUGAAUGAGCCAUCUACCUUUUUUCCAUCAUUUGAAAUCACAUAAUCACGUGAGCUUGAAACCAAGAUAGAGCUUAUGGUUUGAUUCUUCUUAGCAUUCUCUUCUUGCUCUUUCAGGAAAUUCAGUCUAUCAAGGUUGAACGGAUACCCAUCCACGCCAUGUUCCUUGACAGUGCUGACUCCAUUAUCGCAGGAAACCUUGCCAUUCGUAUCAAAAAUGACAAGAUUAGGGAUCCCUCUUACUUUGAACACUUCCUUAAGACGUUUGCGGGUCUCCGUAUCAGAGAAGGGAAUAGCAAGCCAUGGCAUUUCGGAGAAGUAUGUGUUGAAGGAUUCAUCGUCUCUGUCAGAAGAAAUGAAGACCACCUCAAAGUCCCCUUUGGAUGAUAGCUGUUCAUAGACUUCUACCAACAACGGAGUGAAAUUACGGCACGGCCCGCACCACGAACCAGAGAAGUAGAAUCCCACAAUCUUCCCAACCAAAUUGCUGACCUUAACCUAAAAAUUAACGUGGAACAUUAUCAGAAAAAAGUUUCAGCCCUUAACGAAUCAAAAUCUUAUUUGUGGUUUCUUUCUCUUGCCAGUGAGAGAAGCAACAAAAAAAAGAGCUUUUUCUUAAUCAUAAAAGCUUCAGAAAUUGGUCAUAAAUUUGUUCUUCAGCAAGGCUUGCAGUCUAAUUUAAACAUGAUAUUCAUCUUAAUUACUAGAAAAACCUACAAGUUCAUAUAAAAAAAGACGUCAACUUAUAAUAAGACAAGAAGAAGUAGAAUUGAAUAAGAUCAGAGAAACUCAUAUGCUAAAAGCAGUACCUGAUCACCAUUGUUGCGGAUGAGAAAGUCCCUCUCUUCUGAAGAAAGAAGCUUUGAAAGGUCGAGAGAAACGUCUUCGGUGGCCAUAGCUAGCUAUGUGAUGAACUACUCAAAAGGCUAGAACAAUUGCCAAUCCCAGUUGCUGUGUAAUGGAACUUCCAGGCUAAGGCUCCUUUAAAGUACCUGCUCGCCCGGCCUAGGAAAUUAUUAUUCUAAUUGUCAACGACGACUACAAGGCUUGGCUGGUGUCGAGUGAUGACGAAGACAUUAUGACGUAGGUCCGCGGAAGCGGUAUUCGCAUUAUUACGUGCUUCUAUAAAUCUCCUAUUGCUUCAUUUUUUUUUUAACAUGUUUUUUUUAAUCUCCUUUUUUUGUUUGUAUUCUAGUUUUUUAAAAAUUAUGAGUUUGUUAUUAAAUAUAUUUUUUGUUUUUAUCUCUUUAAUAAAAUCUUUAUUAAAUGUGACUUGAUGAUAACAACAUGUAAUUUAAUAAAUUGGUUAAGAUCCAAACUUAAUAGAUUCCUUCUUAUCCUUCUGAUAAAGUUUUUUAAUAGUGAAACUCUCAACUCCUUUUGAUUUAAAAAAUAAUGAUGUUACGUGUAUUUAAUAAUUAUAAAUCAAAUUAUAUUAUGUAUUUGAGCCACGUCAUGACUCUAUUUCAAUAAAAAAAAUCCUUAUAUUUUUAGGAGAGAAAGAAAGAGUUUUUAAAUACAAUAUUUUAUCAUAAUUUUGACCUUUCCCUACUCAAAAGUGCACUAUACAUAUAUAUCAUUAUCUUUUAUCGAACACUCCAAAUGUAUUUAAAUUUGUCAAUUAAUUGUAAAUAAGGGAAGUUAAUGAAUUUCCACUCUAAAAUGUUCAAAUUCAUUGUUUGCUUUCAACUUUGUUCUAAUUAAAUCAGGUUAAGUAUAUGACUUUUUUCAUUAGUGGGUAUCCACUAGAUAUUCUAUUUGAUCUAUUUUUUUAAUUAAUUUUAUAAAAAUAAAACCUAAACUAAAAAAAUAAAAUAAUUCCUCCUUCAUGAAUCAUAAAACUAUGAAAUUAAAUUAAAUAAAAAAAUAAGAGAUGUUGUUAGUUUAGUGUUGUUGCAAAGUGGACAAAAACUCAAAAUAUCAAGGAUAAGAAUAAUAUUAUAGUUUUAUUUUUAAAAUUUUUUUUCAAUAUAAUCACUAAAUAUUUUUUUUAAUUUCAUCUUUGAUAUUUUAUUAAUCAAGAAUUUGGACUUAUUGGUUGGUUUUCUAUAAUCUUUUAUGUGGGGGAAAUUAAAUGUCUCUACAUUAGGGUCAUGUUUGAUUUUACAAAAUAAAAUCCUAUUUUAUUGCAUAUAAAAAUUUAAGACUUGGGGCCAAAAUUGACCGUUAGCAACAAUUUCAAGAUUCUUUAUUUGAGAAAUGUUCAUUUCUCCAUAUUUUACUUUAAAAAUUUUAUAUUUUAAUCCAAAACUCUAUUUUGAUCACAUUUCAGUCUCUAGCUUUAAACAAAAGAUAAAAAUUCAUUGAAAAUAAUGAAAGAGAGAGAAACACAUAGAGUGACAAAGUUUUGUUAGUAAAAAUAACUAAAAUUUGUGUCAAUGUGUUCUUCUUGAUAAGAAGAGUGCUACUAUGGUGUUUUUGACUUUUUAUAUAUAAAAAAAAAACAGAUCGAGAUUUGGAGAGUUUUUUUUUAAGGUUAAACUUUGUGUUUUAAAAUUAUUUUAGGGUUUUUUUAGUUGAUGGAUUAGUUUAUAGACAAUCUAAAAGUGUCUAUUAGAUAUUUUUAGAUAAAAAUAUAUUAAAAAAUAAAUUUUAAAAUAAAAAACAAUCCAAUUCUUCAUCCACCUUUCCAAUGAUAGGAAAAUUAAGCAAGUAAAAUGAUGUGUCAUUUACUUUAUUUAAAGAAAAAACAAUAAAGGAUAGAUGUUAUGUCAUCCAUCAAAGAAAACAUAAAAAUAUAAAAUGGCUCUUCCAUCUUUUGAAUAAUUGAGCCAUUUGGCCCCACAAACAUGGCUUGUUUUGGGCCAUUAUUUUUAAAUUUUUGGAUCUUUAUCCUUGAGUUUUAAUUUUAUUUCAUUAAAAUUAAUUAUUUAAGAACACAUUAAGGAUGUUAUUUUAAUAAAUACUUAAAUUAUUAAAAAUAUACAUGAGAUAUUAUUUUAUUAGAUACCAUUUAAUUUUUACUUUGUUUUUAAAUAAAAUUAUAAUAUUUUUUUUAUAAUAUUAGUAAGGGUUUUUUUGGCAUAACCCAUCAUGAUCUUUCUUAUCUUUGCACAUACGCUGUCAAAGACUAUAAUAAUAGAUUCCAUGAAAAAGAAACUGCGAGAACAUGAAACAUGCAUUUGAACAUGAAAAGGUAAAUAAGCUGAACAUAAUUAAUGGGCCAUAGAAGCGAAGGUUUUUUCAAUGGCUUCAAACUUCUUGGCAGCGUGCUUCAUUGUUGUCGCCGAAUUUCUUCGCAGUGUGCUUGCUUGAAACGUGGAUGUAUCACAUGGAUGAUAUUUUCGUUCUUUGGACAGGAGUGAUAAGCAUUUUCCUUUAGGAAUGACAAAAACCUCAUAACAAGUGAUUGAAAUUUGAGAACAACCAUCAACCAUGGAUUCCCAGGUUUCAAAUGGGUCACAGGAUUCACAUAAACACAGCCAAUCCGGUUAUUUAUGUUUGGUAUCGAAAUACAAGACAUGAAAAUCCUUCAGCAACACGCCUCUUAAUUAGAUAUCAAUAGCAGGAAAGACAUCCACUAUCUUCACACACAUGCCACAAACACCUUACAUCGCAAACUUAUUACGGCAGAAACCCCAUAAAACCAGAUACCAGGUGCGCUUGCCCGCUUAAGCUCUGCGGCACACAUCACCAUCGCAGAUCCUUCCUUCCUUUCCCUUUUCAGUUCCAGUAUCUUCAUCUUCCUUCAAAGCACACUUAGGGUGAAGAUCAAAGUCACAUUGUUUGCAAUAGAAAGACCAACCAUGUCCUGUUCCACGACAGCCAUUGCAAACAUAUGCUUUGCGUUUAGUACGAAUCAGCUCAUGCUCAGUAUGAAGUUCGUGUUUCACUUUCUCUGGCCACCCCUUUGCCUUUUCCUCAAGCUCCUCCUCCAAUUGCUUUAGAUGUUCCUCGGUAAAUGGAAAAGCAUCUGCCCCGUAAGCUGUCAAGUGCAUCCGAGCUUCCUUGGUAAUGGUCCGGCCACUUGGGCCAAUCGCUACAGCUGCAGGAAUGCCUUGAAUUUUGAAUUUCCGACUCAGGAUUUGUUUCCUUUCAUCACCAAAUGGAAGGGCUAACCAAGGCAUUUCUGAAUAGAACUCGUCAAAGGUGGAUUGAUCGCUGUCACUUGAGAUGAAGAUCACCUCAAAUGCAUUGUCUUUUGCUUUAAUUGUGUGGUAUGCUUCAAUUAGCUUGGGUAAAAAGGCACGACAAGGAGGGCACCAUUGAGCUGAGAAGUAAAGAAGAAUGUUCUUUCCAACUAGAUCAGACACUCGGACCUAAUCAAAGAGCAAACCAUUUGAAUGAUAAAAAUACCUUUGCUAAUGAAUUCAAUUCGAGAUAAUAAGCAAGUUAUUGAAAGUAAUGCAAUAACAACAUGCGAUGUUAGCACAGAACAAAAAAUUACCUUGGAUCCACUUUUGUCAAUCACAAAAUCAUUUUCCCCAUUAACCAAAACUGACUCAAGCGUCUGCGAUUCCAGUUUUGCCUUUUCAAUUUCAGCUAGCUCCUCAAGCUUUUCCGGUGUAAAUGGGUAGGCUUCAAUUCCAUGGUCUUCGAUGAGUUCAGCUACAUUUGGGUUCAAAGUCUUCCCAUCUUGGCCAAUUAUGACAAGAUUAGGAAUGGUUCUAAGUUCAAAAUACCGCGCUAGCUUCUCGCAGCUCUUGUCCUUAAACGGCAAUGCAAACCAAGGCAUUGUCUCAAAACUCUCUUUGAAGUGUUUUUCCUCAGAGUCUAGAGAUAUUAGGACUACUUCAAAGUUCUCUCCUUUUUCCUUGAGCCUCUUGUACAAUUCCACUAGUUUAGGAGUGAAUUCACGGCACAUCCUAUGAGCAUGGAUUGAGAAAUACAAGCCAACCAAUUUUCCUUCAAGGUCCAACACAGGGAUCUGCCAUUACAGAUAGCAAAAAUGUAAAUUAUGGCAUCAUCAUUAAAAAUAGCAAAAAAGUGAAUGAUGGCAUCAUCAAUUCAAUUUCAAAACUAGCUAAUUGAAUGAGCCAUCUACCUUUUUUCCAUCAUUUGAAAUCACAUAAUCACGUGAGCUUGAAACCAAGAUAGAGCUUAUGGUUUGAUUCUUCUUAGCAUUCUCUUCUUGCUCUUUCAGGAAAUUCAGUCUAUCAAGGUUGAACGGAUACCCAUCCACGCCAUGUUCCUUGACAGUGCUGACUCCAUCAUCGCAGGAAACCUUGCCAUUCGUAUCAAAAAUGACAAGAUUAGGGAUCCCUCUUACUUUGAACACUUCCUUAAGACGUUUGCGGGUCUCCGUAUCAGAGAAGGGAAUAGCAAGCCAUGGCAUUUCGGAGAAGUACGUGUUGAAGGAUUCAUCAUCUCUGUCAGAAGAAAUGAAGACCACCUCAAAGUCCCCUUUGGAUGAUAGCUGUUCAUAGACUUCUACCAACAACGGAGUGAAAUUACGGCACGGCCCGCACCACGAACCAGAGAAGUAGAAUCCCACAAUCUUCCCAACCAAAUUGCUGACCUUAACCUAAAAAUUAAUUUCGAAAAUUAUCAGAAAAAAAAUCAGCCCUUAACGAAUCAAAAUCUUAUUCAUGGUUUCUUUCUCUUGCCAGUGAGAGAUGCAACAAAAAAAAAGAGCUUUUUCUUAAUCAUAAAAGCUUCAGAAAUUGGUCAUAAAUUUGUUCUUCAGCAAGGCUUUGCAGUCUAAUUUAAACAUGAUAUGCAUCUUAAUUACUAGAAAAACCUACAAGUUCAUAUAAAAAAAGACGUCAACUUAUAAUAAGACAAGAAGAAGUAGAAUUGAAUAAGAUCAGAGAAACUCAUAUGCUAAAAGCAGUACCUGAUCACCAUUGUUGCGGAUGAGAAAGUCCCUCUCUUCUGAAGAAAGAAGCUUUGAAAGGUCGAGAGAAACGUCUUCGGUGGCCAUAGCUAGCUAUGUGAUGAACUACUCAAAAGGCUAGAACAAUUGCCAAUCCCAGUUGCUGUGUAAUGGAACUUCCAGGCUAAGGCUCCUUUAAAGUACCUGCUCGCCCGGCCUAGGAAAUUAUUAUUCUAAUUAGUCAACGACAACUUCAAGGCUUGGUGUCGGGUGAUGACGAAGACCUUAUGACGUAGGUCCGCUGAAGUGGUAAUUCGCAUUAUUACGUGCUUCUAGAAAUCUCCUCUUGCUUUUUUAGCUUUUAUUUUGAAUAACGCAGACAUGCUGAGUCACUUGGCCCAACAAACAUGCCUUGUUUUUAGCCUCUUUUUUUUUUUUUCUUUAUCUUUAUCCUUAAGUUUUAAUUUAAUUUCCUUAAAAUUAAUUAUUUAAAAACAUAUUAAGGAUGUUAUUUUAGUAAAUACUUAAAUUAUUAAAAUUAUAUAUGAAAUAUUAUUUUAUUAAAUAUCAUUUAAUCUUUAAUUUAUUUUCAAAUAAAAUUAUAAUAUCAUUCUUAUAAUAUUAGUAUGAAUUGUUUUUCACAACCCAUCAUGAUUUUUUUUUAUCUGUACAUAUACGUUGUCAAAAAAUAUAAUAAUAGAUUCUAAAAAACAAUUAAGGAUACUAUUGAACUAUAAAAUGAUAAUUGAUUAAGAGCAUAUUAAAAAAUGUGAUAGAAAUUGUAUUUUAAAAUAGUUUUUAUUGGAAAUAUAUUAAAAAAUAUUUUUUUUAAUUUUAAAAAAUUUAUUUUUGAUAUCAAUAUAUUAAAACAAUCUAAAAUACUUUAAAAAUAUAUUAUUUUUUUAAAAUUUAAGCAAAUAGUAUUUUAAGCAGUACUAAACACCCCAUUUUACUAUAAACAAAAUCAUCAUAUUUUUAAUCUAUUUAUCACAUCAUGAAACAUCAUGAUGAUUAAUUAGCAAACACAACACCACCGUGUAGAAACCAUGUGUGACACUUCAAAUUCAUCGUAACAAAUUGAUCAAAUUAUAAAAUAAUCCUUAUACUUCUAAGAAAUUAGUAGCUCACUCCCUUUAUUUAAAAGAAGCCAUAUUUUACCUCCAUGUUAUCAUUUCCAUUUACUAUAACUUAGUUCUUCCUUUAGUUUUACAUUGUAAAAGUGCUAAACCAUCAUUUUAGGUAUUAGUUAAAAAAAAGUAUCUAUUAACAGAUUGACGGUCAAAGCUUCUCAAUUGAGUAACUUUUUUGUUUUUAAAAAACAGAAGGACUAACAUGUUGGUCUAUUGAAAAUGUAAGGAUUCAAUUAUAAUUUAAUUCAAGAAACAAAUAUGAUGCUAUUGACAUGUCCACAAGUCCACUGGCACAAUUAUUGCUUAUAACCCAUCACCUAUCAAUAGUGAUGGGGGAGGGGGGGGCCAGAAGUGUCCUUCUCCCGUAGGGUAAAAGCCCAGCAGUGUCCUCCCCCAUCGUAGGGUGGUCCAAACACAAGAUGGCUAGAGAUACUAAGAACCUGUUUGGUAUUGCGGUAGCUAUUAUGGUUGUGAUUUUAAAAAAGUUAUUUUAUAAAAAUUAUUUUUAGUUAAGGUUGGUUUAAUAAAAUAGGUGUUUGGUUAAAAUUGUGGUUGAAAUUGAGGUUGAACAAAAAGUAGUUUAAUGUGUUUGGUUAAUAAUGCUUUUGAAAUUGAGGUUAUAAAAUAAUUUUAAAAAAUAUAUAUUAAUAUUGAUGUUUUUUAAUUUAAAUAUUGUAGAUUUAACUAUUAUUAUUACAUCAUGAAAUAAAUCAUACUUUAUAUAAAAUAUUUUUUAUUGAUUCAUUAAACCAUCUACAUUUCUAUCACGUACGAAAUACAUCCGACAAGAACUACAGUUUUCAUAAUUUUUUAGCGUGUAAUAAAAUUAGAUAAAAUAUUAUCAUGUAUAAAACUAGUUUUUUUUUAAAAAAAAUGUUAAAAAAAUUAACACACUAAAAAAAAAGUGUCCACACAGUGCAAGUGAACAAUGCAAGAGAAUUGCACUGUUCACUAUUUUUAAGUGAACAGUGCACUUUUCUUGCACUGUUCACAUGAACAGUGCAUCACUAUGCACUGUUCAUGUUAAUUGAACAGUGCAAUUAACAUGAAUAGUGCAAAAAAAGUAAGGAAUUCUUGCUUUUUAAAUACUGCGUUUCCAACACAAAAAAGAAAUAGGAUCCAGUAAACAGUAUAUCUUUUUUUUUUAAUCAAACAACUACAAUUACGUUUUAAAUAAAACGCAACCGCAGUCACUGUGAUAAAAAUUAUUAUUAUCACCAUUAUUACCAUCAUAAUAAACUAUUAUUUUUAUUUUUAUUGCUGUUAUUGUUACUCUUAUUAUUAUUAUCAAAAAAUUUAUCAUCAUCAAUAAUAUUAUCACACCUAUUAAUAUCAUCAUCAUAAAUAAUAUUGUUAUUUUCAUUAUUAUUUUUAUUACUACUACUAUCAUCACUAUUUUUAUAACUAACAUUACUAUUAUUAUUUUUAUUUUUAUCACCACCAUCACCACCACAAGUCCACAACCACCACCACCACCAUUAUUGAAAAAGAAAAAACCUUAAACUUGAUUUGAAUAGAAUUGAAAACUAUAAAUUUUUUUAUAAAAAGACUAGGAAAAACAAUAAGAAAUUAAAAGAAUAUGGACCAAAUUGAAAUCAUUAUUAUUAUCAUUGGCAAAAUAAAAAAUUAUAAACUUGAUUUGAAGAAUAAAACUGAAAGUAAUAAAAACUUUGAUAAAAAAACAAAGAAAAAAAAUUAAAAAUUAAAAGAAAAGAAGACCGAAUAUAUACAAAUUAAAAAUCAAGGGUUAAAUUGAAAAAAAAACUUUCCCAAAAGGAAAAAUGAUCAAAAUACCAAAAUCAAAACUAAAAGAACUGAAUUUGAAAUACCAAUAACAAUGAGGUCCAUAGUGCUUUUCGGGGGGCAGGAAAAAAAACAAAAGGAAAAAAAAAGGAUCACUAGCAAUAAACCAAAUAUAUUUUAACUACACAAGCCACCUAUUAUAAAAGAGGAGACAGUGAGACAUCAAAUUACACAGCAGAAGGACAAUUUUUAUCAUUGGGAGUCGCUGCAUGCACCGUCCAAAUUACACAACAGCUCCCAUGUGAUGGCUCGUGUUGUGCACGUAGCAACAACUUUUUUAAAAUAAAAAAAUAUUAUUUAAAUGUUAAAUUGCAUUACUAUCCUCAACCAAAUCAACAAUUAACAAAAAAAAAAACAAGAGUAAAAGACCCUAAUACCCUUGAUCCCAAUGAAUUAAUUUUUUUAGAUCCAAGGGUACAUGUGUAAUUUCACUAUGUAUUAAAAAUAAAAAAUACCUAUAUACUCCUAUAUGAAACUAUUGAUUUUUUUUACUCCUAGAGGUAUUUUUUUUAUUUUAUUUUUCAUUAAAUAUUAAAAAUAUAAAAAUGCCCUCAAACAAACCUCUAAUAAUUAAUAUUCUGUGUGAAAUUACCAAAAUACCUCUGAAUCAAAGGUAAAUAAUUUUUUUUAAGGCUAUAGACAUUAUUUCACUAUUGUAAUGGAUAGUAAUAUGACUCUAUAGCCAUAAUGAAUUUGCCUUUUUUUUAGUAUUUUUUUUAUAAUUAGUCAACUAUACUUCAAGACUUGGCUGGUGUCAGGUGAUGACAAAGAUAUAAUGAUGUAUAUUAGAUGCUUAUAUAAAUCUCUUGUUUUUUUAAAAAAAAUGAAAAACAUAUUCCAUUUUGUAAUCUUUUUUUUUUCCGUUUGUAUCAUAGUUUUUAAACCCGACCUGGUGGUCGACCCAGUAUAAUAAUUGGGUCACGGGUCAGAUGGGUUGACUCGGGUUAAUAAAAAAAAAAAUAAUUUCUUGCUUGCCCUUGGACUAAUAAUAAUAAUAAGCAUCAUUGAAAAAAAGAAAAGUUUCUAGAGAAUAACCCUGCUUGCCACUCAUGUUUGACCAGAUCCAAAACCAAACAUUGAUUGCCCUUAUAUAAUUAGCACAAUCACCCUCACAACACAGUACACACAAAUCCCUACCCCGCUCUUUACAAACCACCUUCCCGCCACCUCCACAGCCACCACAAGCCCACCAUCACCUUCUCAAUUUUGGGAUUCAAAGUUCCUUCUCAAAGGCGUAGAAGAGAUUACGAAAUACAAGAGCAAUGCCUACCUUCACAACCACAACUAUUAUGUCAUCUCAAAGCAGCAACCUUAGUCUCCACAAACUCAAGAUUAACCCAAAAACACAAUCAAACAUAGUCACAAUUGGUGGGUGAAUUUUUCAAACAACAGACUAAACCCUAACUCAAGCAGAUCUGAAAUCCCUCUUUUCCUAACUCUCCAAGCUGAAUCAACUUGUUCCCUAUUUCAUCAAUCGAGACCCUAAUUUAUUCUCUAUUCUCUUAUCCCUCUUGAGAACCGGAAAUCUCCCCUCAAAGACCAAGUUUUCUGUGAAGAGUCAAAGUUUUACAAGAUUGAAGAGAUUAGUUUUCUGUGAUUCUGUAUUUAUGUUACAAAUGAUUUGAAGCAAAAGAAUUAAUUUGAUUGCUGCAACUCUCAUCUUAAUUUAUUAGAGAAGAAAAAUCGAGCUAAAACCGUGAAGCCUAGUUUAAAUGAACGAACAAUUAACUUUUAUACGUGGGAUCUUGCACGUGAAGCCUAGGAAAGGGCAAUGGCCAAAUAGAGAGACCCUGUUUUUAGAGGGGAGGAAAAUAGAAUUUUUAAAUACAAUAACUAUCAUUUGGCAAUUAACGGUAUCUUCUGAGUUGUGACUUUUCCGCAAUCAAAAGCACAAUUGAUUUUUAUUAAGUUUUUUUAAAAAUUUCAACUCUCACCCGCACAAUAAUAUUUUUAAUAAUCAAUCCAUCUCAAAUUAUUAAAAAAAAUUAAAUACAAAAUAAAUUCUAAGUAAUUUUGAAAAAAUAACAAAAAAAUUCUAAAUAAAAUAAAAAAAAUAUCUUAAUUCAAUUAGGUAAGCAUAAUAGCUUAUGGUUUUUUUCGUAAUGCCUUCUCAAUAUCUAAUUGAUAUUAUAUUUUAACUUUAUAUGAAAUUUUUUACUCAAUUCAAUAAUCAAAUCAAAAGUUAUAUCUAUUAACAUAAAACUAUAUAUUAGAAAAACAAGCUCAAUUCACGUGUGAGUAGGAAAAAAAAUUGAAUCCAUAAGUCUUGUAAUAAAUAAGACCCAAAUAUCUUAAAUUAACCAUUAAAUGCCUUUUUAACCUUCUUAGCUCCUAACUCCUAACUUUUUAAUAGAUCCAAUUGGCACAUGUAUUAGAUCAUGUAGUAUUGCUUGAUAAGUCUCAACAACAAUUUUUCAAUUCAUCCAAAUUGAUAAGAAGAAAAAUAAAUGAAAUAUGGAAAACCACUCUCUAUAAAGAAAAUGACAAUAAAAUCUUCCAUCAAACUCUUAACCAUCUCAUUGCAAAAAACCCUCUCGUCGGUCGUCGAAACCACCAAAAUAUAAUUCUGACUUAAUUAUCACAAACAAAAUAAAUUUAUAGUAUGAUCGUGAAAACCAGGUCAAACUCAAGGAAAAUUUUGUUUAAUCUUCCUACAAUAUACUGAAAUGAGAAAGAAUGAGAGAUUUGGAUGAAAAAUUCAAGAAACAAUAAUUCUGAAAAUAAUAAAUUGAUGUCGUUAAAUCAGUUCAAGGAUCCACACAUUCAUUCCUAUAAAUCUGUUGAUCAUCGAAGUAAAAUAAAUAUUCUUUCGCAUCAAACAAAUAAACUCGAUAUCCCUUAAAGCUGAGGAAAAUCGAUGAGAUUAUAAGUUCAUUAAUUAGAAAAAGCUCUUUAAUUAAUUUCUUACCAUCAAAGGAAUGUAAUAUUGAAAGCAAUUUUCAUUUACUCGGUAGUAGUCUUAGAAAUAAAAUCUAUGCAUUUAUUCUAAGCAAACAUUCAAAAGAUUGACAAUUUUAACUUAGUUUAUUCUUCUCUAAUAAAUUAAGAUGAGAGUUACAGCAAUCAAAUUAAUUCUUUUGCUUCUUACUCUAGUUCCUAACAACAAUUACGGAUUGAAAAAAACUAGAAAGCAUACAUGCCAUCUCAAAACAAUUCAAUAAGCUUGAAUAACAAUCAAUAACAUAAUUCUGAACAAGAAAAAAUGAAUACUUGAAUAUGAUAGAAUUACAAUGAUAAUGUUACUUCUCACAACAUGUUAAUGGAGAUGGUGUGUAUCCCUCUUGAACCUAAUUCAGGAGUUUAGUUCAUAGUUGCUGAAAAAUUGACAAAAGCAGAGAAGAAAGGAAUGUUUUUCGACUCUUGUUUCAGCUGUGUUCUGCUUUCUUUAUCCUCCCCAUAUGCUACCGAAAUCUUCAGGAUUCUUAAACUAAUUAGGAGUCUUCAUGAUAUUAAAUUCGUUCCUUCUUUAUCUGGUCUUUAAGGUUGGAUAAAUCUCUCAGAAUUUAUCUUGAAAUCUGCUUCUGCUGUUAUCAUAAUUUUAUUGUAAUACCAACUCUGUUGUAAUUUAGACUUCGAUUCUGACUUGGUUUCUUGUAAUAUCCGACCAUUCCAACUAUAUUCUUUCAUUCAUGACAUGUUAAAGGCUUGAUCUGCACCUUUCUUGGGUCCUAAGACCCAUCUUUUUUAUGUCAGACUCUCAGCCUUAUUGGGAUACUCGGCACCAUUAGUUUCCAAAUCAGAUCAGGGGACCCAUUUUGACCAACCAGAUUGUGUCCAUAUUCUGUCCUUCAAAUCGAUUUUAUCUAACUUUAAGUCUUUCAUGAAAGUUGUAAUCCUGGAUGUGUAGAUGAAUUUUGGUUUUGAAUCACCUACUUUCGAUAUCAAAAACUCAAGAUAUUCCCGUUUGAAUCUCUAGUGUAAAAGCAGAGAAUCCUGCUGCGAGAAGAACUCUGGCCCGAGUUUGCAGGUCUGAUUCGAGGUCCAAAUGAGAUCGGAAUUUUGCCCAUAAUACUUUCCUGGAAAGCUUGACACGUGUACUUCAACUUAGAAUAGCCCACCUUCUCAUUUUAGAACUCUAACUUGACAAAAAACUUGUCACAAGAAGCUAGGUCUAAAACAUAAAAUGCAAAAUUUCUUAUGUUUUAACGAUUAAUUCACGAAGUCUCUUCUGCAUGUCAAACUCAUAAAAAUAACUUCCAAUCAACUCAAAUAAGUUCAAAAUACAUUAAAAAGCAUAGUGCAAAUGGAAUAAAAACUAUGUAUAUUUUGCACUUAUCAUCCUUACAAACAUAGCAUAAGCAGUUAUCUCAAAUUUCAUACCAUUAUUUUGUCAAUUUUUUGCACAAUCAAUAUCCCUGACAUGACUUGAUGUCAAACUUGUUGUUAAUGACUUAAUAGAUAACAAGACUAAGAAAUUUUGAUCUUUCAUCUUCAUAAUUUUGAAAAUAAAUCUAUUAAAAAGUUAUGUAUGUUAUGUUGACAAGUCAACAAAACAAUGCAUAACUACUGAGUUUUUCAAACUAAAACUCCAUAGAUAUAUACAUGUGAAAUCCCCGAUGCUAAAUGAAAUCAUAAAAGAAAGAUCUCAUAGAGUAAUUUCCAGGAACAUUUUUCAUGCAAUAAAUAAAGUAAGAGGUUGGUAUUUUUGUGUGUGUGUAUUUAGUCAUUUAAAAGUUAGAACAUAAUAAGAUUAAUAGACAAUGCAUUACAGUAAACUAGCAAUUGGUAAACUCAAAAGAUGCAAGACUUUCCACAAUGCCUCUGGUCUUCGAUUUCAGUAAAUAUCCAAGGCUACAAAACACAUUGAAUAUUAUUCUAAAAGAAAAUCUUGAUUUUAAGGAAAUGAGGAUAUGAUUUGGUAACAAUUACUUAAAAUGUUGAAAUUAACAAGUCAAAGCUCCAUACUCUUAAUUUUAGAAACCGUUUCAAUUUUUUUUUUGCUAAAAUUUAAUAUGUAUUAUAUGUUUUGAAUCGUUUUGAUGUACUGAUGUUAAAAAUAAUUUUUUAAAAAUGAAAAAACAUCAUUGGCAUGCAUUUCAGCAUAAAAAGUUAUUUGAAAAGCAACCGCAACCACACUGCAAAACAUACCCACCAAUGCAACUUUAACUAUCAUGCAUGAAGAAAUCUUAGGGCAAUUAGACUUGCGUUUAUUCAAAUCUACAUAUGAAAAAAAAAUCCCCAUUUCCUAAAACUCGCAAAGAUCUAGCACUUUGAUGCAUUAUUAUAAAUCCAAAUCGGCAAGCUUGCUAUAACAUUGCUUACAUGAUCGCCCAUGAAUUAUCACAGCAAUUAGCUCCCUAGUUUCCAAUAUUCGCAAUUAAUGAGUCAAUAUGGUUUUUUCCUUUGAAACAACUUGUCCACGUGAAUCACAUCUGCAUAAGAAAAGACAAUAUAAGCCAUAAAAAUUGAUCUAUACCAUAACCAGUCCUGAUAUUGACAAAGGAAAGUUAAAGGCUACAUUUGCAAGCUAUAUUCAUCAAACAUGUUACAACGUGUUGAAUUAGUAAGAUGUAAAUCCUUUAGCAAAGAAAACAAUAAGAUGGUUAAACAUGCGGGCUUGCCGAGCCACCUUUACCUGUUUUAAGUCUUUAUUUUUAUCUUUUGGAUAUUUUCCUUAAAUUUUAAUUAUAUUUCAUUAAAACUAAUCAUUUAAAAAUAUAUUAGCUUAAAUUAAUUAAGAAUAUAUUUGGGGUAUUAUUUUAUUAAAUAUCAUUCAAUUUUUACUUUUCUUUAUACAACCUAUCGUGAUUUUUUUUAAUUUAUUCCGACGAGUAAUUAUUUUUAUUAUGAUAUAAUUAAAUGAAAAAUAAGCUUAAAAAAUAGAUUUAUUAAACCAAGCUAGGUUUAAUAUGGGUUGAACCAAGUCAAUUCAAAAUAUUAUCAUCUUAAUAUUAGAAAAACAUCACCAAUAAAUUUCACAUAAUAACACGCAAAUAGUAUGUUGUUCUUAUGUUUUGUUUCAAUUGAAUUUAAAUUGUUUCUCUUCUUCUAAAAACAUUAUUGCCAUAUAAUCAAAUAAAAAAAACUAAAGAGUUAUUAAUGAUUUAAAAUAAGAUAUAUAUAUAUAUAUAUAUAUAUAUAUAUAUAUUUAUUAGCUUCCUAAAUUAUUUUUUAGUUAAUGUUAAUGAUUUUUUAACAUUUAUUUGCAUAUAAUUUUCAAUCAAUUUUACUAGAUAAAUAUAUGGAGUUCAUAAUAAUUAUUUUUAUUAGAAAAUUUAUUGAAAAUAUAUAAUGUUCUUUUUUAAAAUUAAAAAAAAUAAAAUUAAGUUGACAUGUGCCGGAGCGCAAGCCUCCUAGCCGCUACUCUUCACUGGGACCAUUGAGUGGUUGGUCUAGAUAAUAUCGAUGUCGUCGUUGUAGUUUCCUGAGUCACUGGCUCUUCAAGAAUAAAUUAUUAGCAUACAUAAUAUCGAUGUCGUCUUUGUAGUUUCCUCGACGCGUCACUGGCUCUUCAAGAAUAAUUAUUAGUAUAGAUAUUUUUAUGUUUUUAAAAUAUUUUAAAAAAAAAUUAUUUUUUUAUUUUAAAUUAAUUUAUUUUAGUGUUUAUAGAAUUGAUUUGAUGUGUUAAUAUUAAAAAUAAUUUUUUAAAAAUAAAAAAAUUGUUUUAUUAUAUUUACAAGAUAAAAAUAUUUUCAAAAACAAUUGUAAUUAUAUUUUUAUAAGCCCCAUAUAUUCACCUAGCUAUAUGUUGUUUGAGAGUGGGUACAAAUAAAGAUUUGUUAAAAAUUAAUUUUUUAUUUUAUUUAAAAUUAAUUUUUUAUUUUUAGAUUAUUUCAAUAAGUUAAUAUCAAAAUAAAUUUUAAAUAAUAAUAAAAUAUUAUUUUAAAGUAUUUUUACAUACCUUGUACUAGAUUCACAGUAUCAAGAGAAGAAGGGUUGCUAGUUGCUACCGGAGAAGUUAGUUUCAUUGAUUGAUGGAAUGUUAUACUUUAGAAAUCAAAUAAUAUGGUGUCACGAGAAUUAAGCAAAUAGAAAAGCAUUAAAUUUAUGGAAAUCCUUUCCUGUUCUGCGAGGGGAAGGAGUUAGUGGUCUUGAUGUAGUUGUUGGCUUUGCUAACUUUUCCUGUUUUCUAUUAAAGUGUGGUUGUAGUUAUUUUUAAAAAUAUUUUUUUGUGUUGAAAUAUAUCAAAAUAAUAUAUUUUUUAUUUUUUAAAAAUUAUUUUUAAAAUUAGCGCAUCAAAACGAUACAAAACACAUAAAAAAAUUAAUUUUUAAUAAAAAAAUAGAAAUUUCUAGAAACACAAUUUAUUCGCGUUCCGAAACGGUGCCAUAACGGUUGCUUGGAUUGGAAAUUCUUGUUUCUUUUACGGUGGAGUUACAAUGGUUUCAUUGUAUAAUGUUCGUUAAGUCACAAUCAGCCCAGUUUUUGUAUUUAAUCAGCAUUACAAUUACAGGAAUAUUUGCUCCAGAGGUGAAGCUGGUUCUUCAUCCAGCCAAAUAGAAACAAAGAGAGCGGCACAAUGGCAUCAUGCAUAGCAUUUUCCUUUAGGAAUGACAAAACCCUCAUAUCAAGUGAUUGAGCUAUGAGAACAACCAUCAACCAUGGAUUCCCAAGUUUCAAAUGGAUUCACAAAAACACACAGAGCUGUUUAUUUAUUUUUCGUAUCCAAAUACAGGACAUGAAAACCCUUUCAGCCUCACACUUCUUAGAUACAUAACGACAACAGGAGAGACAUCCCCACUAUAUUCACACACAUGCAACAAACAUCUUCCAUUGCAUACUUACUACAGCAGAAAGCCCAUAAAACCCGACACAAGCAGCGCUUGCCUGCUUAAGCUCUGCGGCACGCAUCUCCAUCGCAGUUCCAUCCUUCCUUUCCCUUUUCAGUUCCAGUAUCUUCAUCUUCCUUCAAAGCACACUUAGGGUGAAGAUCAAAGUCACAUUGUUUGCAAUGGAAAGACCACCUAUUUCCAGUUUCCCCACAGCCAUCGCAAAUAUAUGUUUUGCGUUUAGUACGUAUCAGCUCAUGCUCAGUAUGAAGUUCGUGUUUCACUUUCUCUGGCCACCCCUUUGCCUUUUCCUCAAGCUCCUCCUCCAAUUGCUUUAGAUGUUCCUCGGUAAAUGGAAAAGCAUCUGCCCCGUAAGCUGUCAAGUGCAUCCGAGCUUCCUUGGUAAUGGUCCGGCCACUUGGGCCAAUCGCUACAGCUGCAGGAAUGCCUUGAAUUUUGAAUUUCCGACUCAGGAUUUGUUUCCUUCCAUCACCAAAUGGAAGGGCUAACCAAGGCAUUUCUGAAUAGAACUCGUCAAAGGUGGUUUGAUCGCUGUCACUUGAGAUGAAGAUCACCUCAAAUGCAUUGUCUUUUGCUUUAAUUGCGUGGUAUGCUUCAAUUAGCUUGGGUAAAAAGGCACGACAAGGAGGGCACCAUUGAGCUGAGAAGUAAAGAAGAAUGUUCUUUCCAACUAGAUCGGACACUGGGACCUAAUCAAAGAGUAAACCAUUUGAAUGAUAAAAAAAACCUUUGCUAAUGAAUUCAAUUCGUGAUAAUAAGAAAGUUAUUGAAAGUAAUGCAAUAACAACAUG
This 18303-nucleotide long non-coding RNA is filed under the name Populus trichocarpa (black cottonwood). RNAcentral describes it as "long non-coding RNA (PTRI_LNC002468)". Lineage: Eukaryota; Viridiplantae; Streptophyta; Magnoliopsida; Malpighiales; Salicaceae. The record is from RNAcentral.